AAAUAGCCAUAGGCGCAUUGGAAGACAGGAACAUACACGAACAAACGAAAAGGACCAGACGAAAAAAUACGAAUCAUUUUUAUUUGUUUUUUUGUU
RNAcentral lists this non-coding RNA (96 nucleotides) under Leptocylindrus danicus. The record is from RNAcentral. Lineage: Eukaryota; Bacillariophyta; Leptocylindrophyceae; Leptocylindrales; Leptocylindraceae.